This 59-nucleotide small nuclear RNA is filed under the name Myotis davidii. Lineage: Eukaryota; Metazoa; Chordata; Mammalia; Chiroptera; Vespertilionidae. The record is from RNAcentral.
GUGCUCCCUUCGGCAGCACAUAUACAAAAUUGGAACGAUACAGAGAAGAUUAGAAUGGC